CCUACGGGUGGCAGCAGUGAGGAAUAUUGGUCAAUGGGCGAGAGCCUGAACCAGCCAAGUCGCGUGAAGGAUGACGGCCCUACGGGUUGUAAACUUCUUUUGUCAGGGAGCAAUUGGGUCCACGCGUGGGCUUAGCGAGAGUACCUGAAGAAAAAGCAUCGGCUAACUCCGUGCCAGCAGCCGCGGUAAUACGGAGGAUGCGAGCGUUAUCCGGAUUUAAUGGGUUUAAAGGGUGCGUAGGCGGAAUAUCAAGUCAGCGGUAAAAAUUCGGGGCUCAACCCCGUCGUGCCGUUGAAACUGGUGUGCUUGAGUGGGCGAGAAGUAUGCGGAAUGCGUGGUGUAGCGGUGAAAUGCAUAGAGAUCACGCAGAACUCCGAUUGCGAAGGCAGCAUACCGGCGCCCAACUGACGCUGAAGCACGAAAGCGUGGGUAUCGAACAGGAUUAGAUACCCGAGUAGUC
This 460-nucleotide ribosomal RNA is filed under the name uncultured bacterium. Its description in RNAcentral is "partial 16S ribosomal RNA". It matches the Rfam family "Bacterial small subunit ribosomal RNA", at positions 338 to 795 of the family's 1533-position model. The record is from RNAcentral.